This is a long non-coding RNA of Mustela putorius furo (domestic ferret), 1728 nucleotides long. NCBI's taxonomy places the organism in Eukaryota, Metazoa, Chordata, Mammalia, Carnivora, Mustelidae. The record is from Ensembl.
AUGUGUGGGAGGAGCUGCAGAGCUAGCAAAAACAUACUUACUAUUCUGGGCUUUCUCCUGCUCCUACAUUUAAGGCGGAGGCCUGGCUCAGUGUUAUCCUGGCUGCAUGGGGUAGGCCUUUCCCAUGGAGGCAUGAUGUUUACAUCAACACAGAAGAUAUUCCUGGUCAACACUUGCAGAGGCUGCAGCCUACCUGCCAUCCCCCCCUUUUUUACAUUUAAGUUUUUUUUUUUUAAGGUAAAUGCUACACCCAGUGCUCAAUGUGGGGCUCGCACUCACAACCCCAAGAUCAAGAGUCACAUGCUCUACCAAUUGAGCCAGCAGCCCUUUUAUUUUAAAAAAAAAAAAAUCCUUUUUAAAAAUUUUUUAGAUUUUAUUUAUUUAUUUUAGAAGGAGAGAGAAUGUACGAGAAGGAGGAGUGGCAGACAGACAGAAGCAGUUUCUCUGCUGAGCAGGGAGCCUGAUACAGGACUCGAUCCCAGGACCCCAGGAUCAUGACCUGAGCCAAAGGCAGACAUUUAACCACCUGAGCCACCCAGGGGUCCCUUCAAAAAAAUUUCUUUUAAGUAAGCUAUCUGCCCCUCUUGUGAAGUCAUGCAUAAACUGAGUUGGGCUGGGGGUCCAGAAGUCUGGACUUUGUCCAAAUGUCCCUCCUCCUAUAAUUGAGAGUGUCACAACUGAGUGUUGAGUGACUGACCAUGAUCUCUUGGCACCCAGCCCUCUCGGCCCAGGGAAAAUUGCUUUUUUUUUUUUCUUCCAGGAACUUGGGGACUGACCAGCUGUCAGCAGUGAACGGGAGAGGGCAGGCUUGAGUGAGGCUGGGAUAUAUGAGAGGAAAAUUCCAGAGAGCACAGGACCUCAGGAGAGCCAGAGACCAGUCCAAGUGCGGGGAUGGCCCCGCUUGGGGCCGAGUGCCAUAGUGGAGGAAAGGUCUUUUGCAGUUAGGGCACACUGUGCUCCUGCUCCUAGGCCUUAGUCUUUCCACUUUUGCUCAAGCUGGUACUUACGAAAGCACAGGAGACCUUUCAGAAGAGGGGUACUAAAAUGCCAUGGGGCCUUAUGACAAAGCACAGUACUGUCUGAGCCAAAACAGGAUAAAAACCACUUGCAUUCUUGCCAAAAGUCUUGCCAGUUCUGUCUCUAUUUGUGUAUAUCUACUCGAAAAUUGAUUGUUUAAAUCUUUGAAUUAAAAAAAUAAGUUCCUUGAGGUAUAACUUACAUACAAUAAAAUUUUCUCUUUUAAGGUAUACAUAAUUAAGUUUGGGCAAUGUUUUUUGCUUUUGUUUCUUUUUUUAGUUUUUGGCAAUUUUUUAAAAGAAUUUUAUUUAUUUAUUUAGAGAGAUUGAGAGAGCACACACGCGCACAUGUACACACGCAUGCAGGUGCUUGGGGAGAAGAGUAGAAGGAGAGGGAGAGAGACUCUCAAGGAAACUCUGCACUGAGCACAAGCCAGAAUCAUGAUCCCGAGAUCAUUAUCGGAGCCAAAAUCAAGAGUCAGACCCCCAACCAACUGAGCCACAUAAGCGCCCAAGUUUUGGCAAAUCUAUAAAGUUAUUUAACCACCAUUCCCAGCAUACAGAGAAGUUCCCUUAUGCCCCUUCUAAUCCCCAUCACCACCCACCACAAGCUCCAGCAACCUCUGACUCUUUUCUGCCAAUAUAGUUUGCCUUUUCUAAAAUGUCAUGUAAGUAGAAUCAUAUAGUCUUUUUUUUUUUUUNNNNNNNNNNN